AUGAUAGGUCUUUUUUGGAAUUGCAGGGGGGCAGGAAAGAAAGGAAUGAGAACCUGCCUGUCCCAUAUGAUUAAGGACCAUUCCCUUGACUUUCUUUGUCUGCAAGAAACGUUGAAGAAGAAUUUUUUGGAUAGUUAUUUUAGAAAGCUCGACCCUCACAACCUGUUUGAGUGGGGCUGGGUCCCCUCAAUUGGCAAGGCUGGAGGUAUCUUAUGUGGG
This 219-nucleotide ribosomal RNA is filed under the name Triticum aestivum (bread wheat). Its description in RNAcentral is "partial small subunit ribosomal RNA". The record is from RNAcentral. Lineage: Eukaryota; Viridiplantae; Streptophyta; Magnoliopsida; Poales; Poaceae.